AGCUUGCUCCUUUGAAGUUAGCGGCGGACGGGUGAGUAACACGUGGGUAACCUACCUAUAAGACUGGGAUAACUUCGGGAAACCGGAGCUAAUACCGGAUAACAUUUAGAACCGCAUGGUUCUAAAGUGAAAGAUGGUUUUGCUAUCACUUAUAGAUGGACCCGCGCCGUAUUAGCUAGUUGGUAAGGUAACGGCUUACCAAGGCGACGAUACGUAGCCGACCUGAGAGGGUGAUCGGCCACACUGGAACUGAGACACGGUCCAGACUCCUACGGGAGGCAGCAGUAGGGAAUCUUCCGCAAUGGGCGAAAGCCUGACGGAGCAACGCCGCGUGAGUGAUGAAGGGUUUCGGCUCGUAAAACUCUGUUAUUAGGGAAGAACAAAUGUGUAAGUAACUGUGCACAUCUUGACGGUACCUAAUCAGAAAGCCACGGCUAACUACGUGCCAGCAGCCGCGGUAAUACGUAGGUGGCAAGCGUUAUCCGGAAUUAUUGGGCGUAAAGCGCGCGUAGGCGGUUUCUUAAGUCUGAUGUGAAAGCCCACGGCUCAACCGUGGAGGGUCAUUGGAAACUGGGAAACUUGAGUGCAGAAGAGGAAAGUGGAAUUCCAUGUGUAGCGGUGAAAUGCGCAGAGAUAUGGAGGAACACCAGUGGCGAAGGCGACUUUCUGGUCUGUAACUGACGCUGAUGUGCGAAAGCGUGGGGAUCAAACAGGAUUAGAUACCCUGGUAGUCCACGCCGUAAACGAUGAGUGCUAAGUGUUAGGGGGUUUCCGCCCCUUAGUGCUGCAGCUAACGCAUUAAGCACUCCGCCUGGGGAGUACGACCGCAAGGUUGAAACUCAAAGGAAUUGACGGGGACCCGCACAAGC
RNAcentral lists this ribosomal RNA (869 nucleotides) under Staphylococcus xylosus. RNAcentral's name for it is "bacterial SSU rRNA". It matches the Rfam family "Bacterial small subunit ribosomal RNA", at positions 77 to 930 of the family's 1533-position model. The record is from RNAcentral. Lineage: Bacteria; Bacillati; Bacillota; Bacilli; Caryophanales; Staphylococcaceae.